This 1299-nucleotide long non-coding RNA is filed under the name Homo sapiens (human). RNAcentral describes it as "HSALNT0281168". Lineage: Eukaryota; Metazoa; Chordata; Mammalia; Primates; Hominidae. The record is from RNAcentral.
CGGGCACUUGCUGAUACUGCAGGGCCUGGAUGCCUUCCUCUGCUGACCAGAUACCAACCGCCUCACUGCAAGGCCUCACCUCCCACGGACGGCAGAAGCGGAAGUGUGUGUGACAUCCGGGCAUCCUGCCCACGGACCGAAGGGCUGCCAGCAAGGGCGGUGUGGCGUGACUUUCUGUGGCGCCCCCUUUGUUAUGGAGUAGUAGUAAUAUUAAGUCCUCCUCUAGGAAGUAUAUCCAUGUUUUCGCUCCUAAUUCAUUGAUUAAAGGCCCCUUAGGGAAAUAAUAACCCUUUAUUGACUACUGGAGGGUUCUAAGACCCCAAUCUCUGGUGGCUUGAUGCCAGCACCUUAGCCCAAUGCUAUCACUUCCCUGACUCUCCAGAAGAAUAAUGCAGAGUGCGAUACCUAAGAGGAUCCCUGCCCGGGGCUUUUGCGGCUUAAGGCCGAGGCCGGACGGCAUGGCGUUCUUUCUUUUGUGGUAGUGGGUCCCCUCAAAUGCUAUUCAGUGUCUUUGCCUUACCUCCUGGCGGGGCCUGGAUGCCUUUCUCUGCUGACCAGAUACCAAUCGCCUCACUGCAAGGCCUCACCUCCCACGGACGGCAGAAGCGGAAGUGUACGUGACAUCCGGGCAUCCUGCCCACGGCCCGAAGGGCUGCCAGCAAGGGCGGCGUGGCGUGACUUUCUGUGGCGCCCUCUUUGUUAUGGAGUAAUAGUAAUAUUAAGUCCUCUCGGAAGUAGAUCCAUAUUUUGGCUCCUAAUUCAUUGAUUACAGGCUCCUUAGAGAAAUAAUCACCAAACAAUAAGCUCUGGACAGUUUUGCAACAUAAACCGUUACGGAUAAUGGGUUUGCGUUCCAGGCUUGAUGGGAGAAGAGAGGCCGCAGCACAAAGGUAGGGUGCCCAAGACAGAUUCUGAGAUGUUGGAGUAAGUGCAUUAUAACUAUGGGGUCUCUUCACUGGCGAAAUGUAGACAUUGCGAACUUUCUGUUCUAAAAGAUCUACUUUCUAUAGAGAAGCCAUAGAUGUACACAAUUUUGUGAGACCCAGAUCUCUUGACUUUAUCUAACAUUGCAUUGUAUUGUGCAGUGAAAUUCAUUUUAAUUAUGGUCUUAUUUGUUCCACCAAAUAUAUUAUAUGCAUGUUCUAUUACUACUGCUUUGUGUGGCAAGGCUUUUGAUUUUGCUACAGUGAUUUAUACACCGCUUUUCAGAAGUCAUUUAUUGAUUUGGAUUGGGUGUGGUCUUUUCCUUUGGAUUUUCUAAAAUGAUGAUCACAUUUUCACCAAAUAAUUUCUAUUUCU